RNAcentral lists this unclassified non-coding RNA (355 nucleotides) under Hevea brasiliensis (rubber tree). The record is from RNAcentral. Lineage: Eukaryota; Viridiplantae; Streptophyta; Magnoliopsida; Malpighiales; Euphorbiaceae.
GUUUAAAUGAAACAAGCAAGUCCUCACCUAAACCAAGAUGUAGCAAAAAUCUGAACUUGGGAGAAUGAUUGGGGCAUUGAUUCUCAUAAGAAGAGUGUUGGUGUGUCAAACGGGUCUGCUAGUGAAUGGCUUCCUAAGGAACCAAUUGGUGGUGUUGAGUAUAAGUUUCUUGAAGUACUGAUGGCUUGAGCCAAUAGGCAUAAAGGAAGCUGGCUUUUGGGUCUGUCAUUGCCGAAUGAAAGGGAAUCGCUCAGAAUCAGUGAAGAGGAGUUGGGUGAAAUUGAAUUGAUUGAAAAUAAAGGAAGAACUGAAAUACAGUGAUGCAGCAAAGUGGUGUUGGUGAAUCGAAGAAAAU